UACAGAGGGGCGAAGCGUUAUUCGGAAUUACUGGGCGUAAAGGGCGCGUAGGCGGUUCUUUAAGUCGGAUGUGCAAUCCCCGACGCUCAACUUGGGAACUGCAUCCGAAACUGGGGAGCUAGAGUACGGGAGAGGGCAGUGGAAUUCCUGGUGUAGGAGUGAAAUCCGUAGAUAUCAGGAGGAACACCGGUGGCGAAGGCGGCUGCCUGGACCGAUAUUGACGCUGAGACGCGAAAGCG
Molecule: ribosomal RNA, 239 nt
Filed under: uncultured bacterium
Lineage: Bacteria
Description: partial 16S ribosomal RNA
Rfam family: Bacterial small subunit ribosomal RNA
Source: RNAcentral